UUAAGAUUUGCUAGAUUAAACAGGGAGUUUAAAAUAAAAAACUAGUUUAGUUGUCGCAGCUUCCGUCUUGAACUUGGAGAUGAAACUUGAUCUUUUUCAACCCGGGAAUUCAAUCUUGUAUUUCCCUUAACAAGGAGAAAAAAGGUUGAACAUCAAUGCUCUGUUUGAAUUAGCAUUUUUUUUUAAAUAACUGUUUUGUUUUUAAAGUCUAUAGUAACAACUCCAAAAACAAUUCAAAAAACGCAUACCCUCAAGCCCCUAGACCGCCAGAUGUCCACUUACAUGGCUGCAGAUCACCCCAUCAGGGCUGACUCUAUCGACGCUGCUUCUUUCCUUGACGCCGUUGACGAAUUAGCCGCCAUUACUCAUGAAUGGGCUCCCAUGGGUCACGAUAAGUCCUCCUCCUCCCGCCUUGACCGGGCUGAUGAAUUGCUCCAGCAAGCUAUGUUUCGGUGUCAUGGAGCAGAAGUUAGCUAAGAGAAGCUGGAAACGUGAAAUAAAAUACACGCCUUUAGUAAGUAACUUCAAGCAAGCUGUAGACGUGGAAUACUGGCAUCACGCCUUUAUGAAGUAAAGUAGACGUGCAAAAUAAAGGAGAUUGCAAGUGAAGGCGUGGGAAUUAGAAUCACGCCUUUCCUGGGAACAAGCUCAAGCAAGGUGAGCUUCUAAGCAAGUGGCUCUACAACAGAUUCUGUUAACUCCUCACAUGGCUAAGCUGGAUUAGGAAGCGACAAAGGAGCUGGUUGUUAGCUAACUCUAUAUAAAGAAAGGAUCAGUAGUAGAAGGAUAGGAUUUUGUUAGUCAUUGUAAGGGAUCAUUCCCUGAGCAUCUUCUUCUGUUUUCCUUCAUUCUGCCAUUUUCUUCUCUUUUCCCGCCCAAUCUGUAAUCUUCUUAUUCAAUCAACAUCAAUACAAUUUCGUUUGGUUAUUCAUCAGUUCAUUAUUGAUUUUUUCCUGUUAUUAAUCUUCUGUUCUGCAUUAGUCUUAUCAAUCGAUUCCAUUGGAAGCAGCUCUGUUGCCUAGUUUCUGUUUGAUACCAUCACAUUCGGUUUGAGGAUGAGCUUAAAAUCCUAAUGGAAACAGGGGAGUGAGUCGUUUGAUGUGACCCGGCUCCGGGACGGUAAGUGAGGAAACCCCAACUACUCAUUUGACUCCGACGAAGAAGAAUUUGACGGUGGAGGGAGUGAAAUCCCAGUUGCCCAUCCGCUGUAAAAAUUUUGAAUUCUAAAGAUGCAAAUUAAAAUUUUGAAUUGUUAAAAUACCCUAAAAUAUAUUCUCAAAAAUAACUUCCAAAAACACUCUCAAAACACUUAAUCACUUAUAGUAAAAGAUUUUUAUAUACAUGCUACAGCAAAAUAUUUGAAAAAUACUCCCCAAAAACACCUCUAAUCAGGUAAUUCAUUGUCCCCUAUUUUGUUUUCAACUUUAUUUGGAUGUGUUAUUAAAGUUGGGUCACUAAAUUUCAUGAAUUAGUACGAAUAGACUUUUAAAGUGUAAAAGACAUGACAUUCUAUAUUGUCCACUUAUAACAUUUUGGAGGCAAUAGUGGAAAAAACAAUGUAAUAUCCCAAUAAAAAGUCUGCAGCAGAUUAACAAUUUCAAUAUAAAAACCUUUGUUUGCUUAGAGAAAUGGUUCAAGGUUUUACUUUCUUACAAAUGGUUGACUAAAGUUGAAAGGGCCAAGGGAUUGUUGUAUUUUGACAAGGAAAAUUAUCCAUUUAGUCCUUCAACUUUUUCCUUAAACCAAUUCCAUCCUCAAUCUUUUAUUUGGAUUUAUAAGUUCCUUAAACUUAGGGGCCAACUGCAUCCUUUUAAAGCAAUGCCGCCAUUUAGAUCUUUCCGACAAAAAAAAUCAACAACUAUAACUGGGUCUUCUUCAAUCAAGAGCAGCCCCCUCCUUUACCACAACCAUUCUUCUUUUUGCCACACACUUCAACCCCCUCCUUAAUCACUACCACACCCAUUUUUGCCAUGGCUUUAAAAAAAACUUGGCCCCAUAGGAUAAUUAGUGGCAACAUCAAAAUAUUACAUUUCCUCCUAUUAAAAAAAAAAGAAAGUUAUAAAAUAUGUCCUUUAUAAAUCAAAAUUUUUGGCCCCACAGAAACUUUAUAUAACAAAUUUUUAAUGCACACUUGAUGAGUACGCUACUGCUCAAAAUAUAUUUAUAAAAACUAUUUUGAUAAAAAUAAGUAAAAUAAAAAAGAAGCCAGAUUUUAUGAAGAGCACAAUACCAAAAAUUUUAAAUAAUUUAGGAUAAUAAAAAUGAUUAUUUUUAAUGACUGAAGAAGUAUAAAUAGCUUGGCAUUGUGAAAGGAAGGGAUAAGAAAGAACAUUUUAAGGAUAAGUAUGUACCAAGUGAUUGAAAUCAAUAAGGUUGUUGGCAUUAAAGUUUAGGAUUAAUUUUUAGCUAGUUUGGGAUGGUCGCAAGUCUUCUUUCAUAUGUUUACAAAGUGAAUGUUCUGCUGCUAUCCUUGCUGUGAAUAGUGUCUAAAAAUUUUCAGAUGAAGUCCAUACUAUUUUUUUUUUCCUAAUUGAAUUUUACAUUAUCCAAUAAUUCCCUCUAUUUAAAGGGACAAACAAUUCAAGUAUUAAAACUCAUCUUAAAAAGGAUUUCUCCAUGCUUUUUUGAACUUUGAUAUGAAGACUAUGUUUUUCUCCUUCAAUAUAUUUGUUCACGAACACAUAUUUUAAGACUAAUGAAUGAAGUACCUUUCAAAUAUCAAAAUAUUUUCUAAAUUUGAGGAUCCUAAAGUCCAAAAACAAUUUUGUAGGUGAUAGGUUUCAUUUUUUUUCAUCCUAUCAAUUUGUUCGAGUAACUUUCACAUUUAUAGAUGUUAUGAACAUAAUUUUUAAACUAAAUUCUAGCAUACUAAACAUCUUACAUAUUUGUAUUAAAUGCUAUUAUAUUUUCAUUUUUGUUGCACGUUGUCAUCAAUAGAGUGAGGUCUGCAAAUAUUGUAAUAAUUUUCCCAUUUAUAACCAAGUUGUCAGUUUUUAGAAAAGAAAAGGAUAGAUAAGGUUAUCCAAGAAUUACUUGCAUUGCUUACCCAAUGCAAGCAAUGAGGAGAAAUGACAACGGGUAUUUAGAUGUUCACCAUUUUUUGUAAGAAUUUAGAUGCUUGUAACAAAUCAUUGUUUGAUUGAUUUCUUUUGCAAAUGAAGCUUUUGGUCUUAUUAGUAUAUUUUGAUUUACCAGGCCAACUUAAUUUCCUCUCAACUAAUUCAGUGUAAAACAAACUAGUUAUCUUUUGGGUGGGCAAUGUGGCAUUAAAUAAAUUAAAUAUGACAAGCAUUUCACACAAAGAUAUAAUGCAAAUCACGCUGGAUCUCUCAUGCAACAAUUGAAGAUGAAUGUGCAUAUCAUAUUCUCAAGAUGAAUGCAACAAAUGCUAAUGGAAGAUAACACUCUUCUUUUCAAAUUAUAUAGUGCCAUUUAUCCUAGCAAUUGCACCUCUAGGUUAGGGAAAACAAAUAGGUCAAACAUCAAUUUAGACUGCAAUGUUCACCAUAUGAACAAGUUCAACAUCAUUGGAUGGUGCUAUCACAACCACGUUUUGCAAACUUAACAUAAAUGUAGCAUCAAAUCUACCAAAAUGUGUUGGACCAUGCCAUCCAACUAAUCCUAUGCUUGAAAUCACAAAAUGCAUCAGAAUGUUUUGUUGGUCUACAUCAUGGACUAAUAAGGUUGCCAUAGAAAAUUACGGGGAAGUGAAUUUUACUGUUUUGGCGAAACAAGCAUUUUUUUUUCUUUUUUUUUAAAAUAUUUUAAUUGCAGUUUUAUAAAUAAAAAAAAAAUCAAAGACUGAUUCAUCAGGUUCAAGCCAUACUACCACCAAAAUAAUACUGCAAAAUGGACCUGGCAGUGAGGAGGGCUCUAUGGGACCUCCCCAGCCAUUGAGCUAUACCUCAAUGUUUUGAGUUGAUCUUUCGUAGACUAAUAUCCAAAUUUUUUCUAACACAAGUAGCAUGUUUAUAAAUAUGCAUAAAACUUUUAUAGAGUUUUAACAAAUCUUUAUAUGCUUGAAUCGAUUCAAGCCCAUUUGCAUGAGAAGAAUAAUUAGAUAGCAAUGUUUUAGAUCUUUUCGAUCAAAGUGAUUUAUUAUUAUUAUUUUUACUUCAUGAAACUCACAAUUUUGUAUUCCUAUGCUAAUGUGCACAAUAAUUAGUGCCAAACAUGCUUGUUUAUGUUCAUAAUUUCAAUAGCAUAAACUUUAAACUAUAUGAGUAACCUUCUAGUUCGAGCUUCUCUGCUUCCUUGAUCCUUAAAAAGGUUACUAUCGAAUAUAUCUCAACAUUGAAAGUAGACCAAAAGUAGCUUUCAUCAUUGACUCAAGUAUUUACAACAUUAAAGUCCUGUCUCCGGACUAAAAAGUGUUAGUGCAACCUAUCAGAAUGAAACAUGGAAGAUUAUGUCGAUGACACACUAGUAAAAAGUAAAAAGAAAGAGAUCAUGUGAGGACCUCAAUAAAAUCUUCAUUGCAUCAAGAAAGAACAAAUUGAAGUUGAAUAAUUAAAAAAAGGUGAGCCUUCUAUCUAAAGGUGGCAAAUUCCUUAAUUUCAUAAUAACUGAAAGAGGGUAGAAGCUAACCCCUCUAAAAUCAAAGCAAUUCAAGAUAUGAAGCCACCUCAAUGGGUUAAAGAAGUUCAAAGGCUUAUUGAAAAACUAGCUACAACUAGUUGCUUCUUCUCUAAAGCGAGUGAUAGAAAUUUCUCCUUUUUCAAUGAUAUAGACAAAUGAACGCCAAGUUGCCUUCGAGAACUAGAAGAAGUACUUGAGUUUAUCAUCCCUCCUCGCCAAACCUAUACUUGGUGAGUUUACCUUGCUCAUCAACAGUUGUGAGGGCGGUUGGCCGCCAUCUCCUCACUCCCAAACCCCCAGCCCACCACGGACUGGAUAAGCACCUUGAAUACCACAAAAAAGAAAAAAAAAAAAAAAAAAA
Molecule: long non-coding RNA, 4939 nt
Filed under: Coffea arabica (coffee)
Lineage: Eukaryota; Viridiplantae; Streptophyta; Magnoliopsida; Gentianales; Rubiaceae
Description: long non-coding RNA (CARA_LNC002258)
Source: RNAcentral